AUGAACGCUGGCGGCGUGCCUAAUACAUGCAAGUCGAGCGAACAGACGAGGAGCUUGCUCCUCUGACGUUAGCGGCGGACGGGUGAGUAACACGUGGAUAACCUACCUAUAAGACUGGGAUAACUUCGGGAAACCGGAGCUAAUACCGGAUAAUAUAUUGAACCGCAUGGUUCAAUAGUGAAAGACGGUUUUGCUGUCACUUAUAGAUGGAUCCGCGCCGCAUUAGCUAGUUGGUAAGGUAACGGCUUACCAAGGCGACGAUGCGUAGCCGACCUGAGAGGGUGAUCGGCCACACUGGAACUGAGACACGGUCCAGACUCCUACGGGAGGCAGCAGUAGGGAAUCUUCCGCAAUGGGCGAAAGCCUGACGGAGCAACGCCGCGUGAGUGAUGAAGGUCUUCGGAUCGUAAAACUCUGUUAUUAGGGAAGAACAGAUGUGUAAGUAACUAUGCACGUCUUGACGGUACCUAAUCAGAAAGCCACGGCUAACUACGUG
Molecule: ribosomal RNA, 496 nt
Filed under: uncultured bacterium
Lineage: Bacteria
Description: partial 16S ribosomal RNA
Rfam family: Bacterial small subunit ribosomal RNA
Source: RNAcentral